GGACUACAGGGGUAUCUAAUCCCGUUUGCUCCCCACGCUUUCGCACAUGAGCGUCAGGUCAGUGCCAGGGUGCCGCUUUCGCCACUGGUAUUCCUCCCGAUAUCUACGCAUUCCACCACUACACCGGGAAUUCUACACCCCUCUCACCACCUCAAGCCAACCAGUUUCCAACGACCUCUCCCAGUUAAGCCAGGAGAUUUCACGUCAGACUUAAUCAGCCGCCUGCGUGCGCUUUACGCCCAGUAAUUCCGGAUAACGCUUGUCACCUACGUAUUACCGCGGCGGCUGGCAC
RNAcentral lists this unclassified non-coding RNA (292 nucleotides) under uncultured Caldilineaceae bacterium. RNAcentral's name for it is "contains 16S-23S intergenic spacer region". Lineage: Bacteria; Bacillati; Chloroflexota; Caldilineae; Caldilineales; Caldilineaceae. The record is from RNAcentral.